This 511-nucleotide ribosomal RNA is filed under the name uncultured bacterium. Its description in RNAcentral is "bacterial SSU rRNA". It matches the Rfam family "Bacterial small subunit ribosomal RNA", at positions 30 to 526 of the family's 1533-position model. The record is from RNAcentral.
AUUGAACGCUGGCGGUAUGCUUAACACAUGCAAGUCGAACGGCAGCAUGUUUUAUCUUCGGAUAAAAUGAUGGCGAGUGGCGGACGGGUGAGUAACACGUGGGAAUCUACCUUAAAGUGGGGAAUAGCCUGAGGAAACUCAGGGUAAUGCCGCAUAAUAUCUAAGGAAGAAAGCUGGGGACCUUCGGGCCUGGCGCUUUAAGAUGAGCCCGCGUCGGAUUAGCUAGUUGGUAGGGUAAAGGCCUACCAAGGCUACGAUCCGUAGCUGAUUUGAGAGAAUGAUCAGCCACACUGGGACUGAGACACGGCCCAGACUCCUACGGGAGGCAGCAGUGGGGAAUUUUGGACAAUGGGCGAAAGCCUGAUCCAGCAAUACCGCGUGUGUGAGGAAGGCCUUCGGGUCGUAAAGCACUUUCAGUUGUGAAGAAACAAGCAUGGUAAAUAGCCAUGCCCAAUGACGUUAUCAACAGAAGAAGCACCGGCUAACUCUGUGCCAGCCGCCGCCGUAACAC